GAUGAAGAACGUAGCGAAAUGCGAUAAGUAAUGUGAAUUGCAGAAUUCAGUGAAUCAUCGAAUCUUUGAACGCACAUUGCGCCCCCUGGUAUUCCGGGGGGCAUGCCUGUUCGAGCGUCAUUUCACCACUCAAGCCUCGCUUGGUAUUGGGCAUCGCGGUCCGCCGCGCGCCUCAAAUCGACCGGCUGGGUCUUCUGUCCCCUAAGCGUUGUGGAAACUAUUCGCUAAAGGGUGUUCGGGAGGCUACGCCGUAAAACAACCCCAUUUCUAAGGUUGACCUCGGAUCAGGUAGGGAUACCCGCUGAACUUAAGCAUAUAAUAAGCGGAGGA
Molecule: unclassified non-coding RNA, 330 nt
Filed under: soil metagenome
Description: partial contains 5.8S ribosomal RNA, internal transcribed spacer 2, and large subunit ribosomal RNA
Rfam family: 5.8S ribosomal RNA (bases 1-120)
Source: RNAcentral